Molecule: long non-coding RNA, 2036 nt
Organism: Arabidopsis lyrata subsp. lyrata
Lineage: Eukaryota; Viridiplantae; Streptophyta; Magnoliopsida; Brassicales; Brassicaceae
Exons: 12
Source: RefSeq, a predicted model, not a curated record
AUUUCUUUUGUCCUGUUCUCUACAUAUGCAUCAUCAGCAUGAUGAGUUACUUUUAAUGCUCAUGCUUUGGGAGCCUUGGCUGAGGUUGCUGGUGCUGGUUUUAACACGCAUCUCGGGACCAUACUUCCUAUUUUGCUCUCUGCAAUGGGAGAUGAAAACAAGGAAGUCCAAGAAUUGGCACAAGAGAGGGUGGUCCUUGUCAUUGAUGAAGAAGGAGCUUCAAUUAGAUGAAGUUCCGCAUAUCUGAUUGGUUACUUCUUCAAGAGUAGCAAGCUUUACUUAAUUGAUGAAGCUCCAAACAUGAUAUCUACCUUGAUUGUUAUGCUCAGUGAUUCUGAUUCAACGACUGUUACGGUUUCCUGGGAAGCUUUGGCUAAGGUUAUCGGUUCAGUUCCAAAGGAAGUACUUCCUUCAUAUAUAAAACUUGUACGUGAUGUUGUAUCUACAGCUAGGGACCAAGAGCGCAUGAAGCGUCCAUAAGAUUGUGGAAAAACUGUUGGAGGUAUUCACCAUCAGAAUUUGUGCAACGUGCAGUCUCAACAUGCCUUUCUCCACUUGUGCUAUCAAAGCAAAAGGAGGCCCCUGGCCUUUUUUCAGGCUCUUGGAUAAGCUAAUGGAGAGUGAUAAAUAUGGUGAGCGUAGAGAAGCAGCGUUUGGUGUUGAGAGAGUAGUUAUGGGCUUUGGAAUUUCUAGCUUGACGAAAUAUGGUCUUAUAGUUACUCCGCAAGAAGCACUUAUUGACAUGGGAUACUAUGGACUUUGAUAUCUCAAAAUGAGCCUUCACUUCUGCAAAUUACUUUGGCCUCAAAACUUUCAAGUGAUGAUUGUGUAGUAUGUGUCGACCUUCUUGCGGUGCUCACACUCCUCCAGGUAAACCUCCUGCCUAAUGUGUGAGAUUCGUUGUUUGACUGUUUGUAGAAGUUUUAACUAUCUCUCCUGCCUGAUUUCACGGUUAUUGAAGCAUUUUCAUUGGAAUCGCUAUCACAGGUAGCCUAAGAGAGUUCAUGCUUUCUGACCCGUUUCUCCCUGUUUGGGACUUAUGUUUCAUCCCUUUUCAAUGUAGUUACUUCUCUUUCUAGUUUGCCAUCCAAGCUGGAAUGUUCGUAAAACAGUUUACAAUUCUGUUACGUAGAUCUUUCUCGCAACUUCACAGCUAGCCACUACUCUUUUAGACGAGUUCUUGGAUUUCCUUUCCAUAACUGGGGACCAGAUCGUUUCUUCUAGAACCAGGUACAAAUGAUAAGUUCGUUUUGUAUUCUUAAACUCUUUUCACCCCACCCAUCCAGUAGGUAUACUGCUGCCUAAUCUGUGUUUAGUUAUCGCUGAUGUCUCAUAUUAUUUUUCUGAUCUUGACUUUUUAUUAACAGUUUGAUUCAUUUGACAUUUUGAAAGGUUUGGACCUAAAUGCCAGUAACGACUUAUUCUUCUAGGAACUAACUUGGCACCUCUGUAUUGACACACAUAAUCCCGUGGAUCAUCAAGCUCCUUUCUAUGGAUGUGUUAGUGAAGGCUUUGAUUAUCAUUCAGUUGCUGGACCUUCUAGCUCAUGGAUUGUUCGUGCCAUAUUUUACUUGCAUCAUCCCAGCAUCGUUGGUACUAGAAAAAGAGAUGUUGUUUGGAAGAGAUUGCAAAAGUGUCGCAAACCCCGUGGUUAUGAUGUUGCUACUUUUUGUCUACCAAUAGAGAAAGUGUUUGCAAGUAAGGUAAGAAUCUCCUGUAUUCGAAGAUUGCUUCGUAGCUUGAGAUUAAGGGCUUCCCUACGCUUCUUCUCUUUGUUUAUCACACUUCUCAGACUUACAAUGGUGGAUUUUCUGCGGAUGAUAUAGUAAUUUGGGCGCAAAAGAAGACUGGUGCACCAAUCAUUACACUUAAUUCAGUUGUUGAAGCUCAGAGAUUUCUGAACAAGUUUGAGGGUUCUGAACAUAACGAAUUCGUGAAAGCUGCAAAAUCAGAUGAUGAAAUCCAGUUUUUAGAAACAAGCGACAACGAUGUUGCGAAACUUCUAAUUCCUGACCUUAAAAGCAGUAAUGUGUUUA